AUGUGGUUUAAUUCGAGCAACGCGAAGAACCUACCAGGCCUUGACAUGCAGAGAACUUUCCAGAGAUGGAUUGGUGCCUUCGGGAACUCUGACACAGGUGCUGCAUGGCUGUCGUCAGCUCGUGUCGUGGGAUGUUGGGUUAAGUCCCGUAACGAGCGCAACCCUUGUCCUUAGUUACCAGCACGUUAUGGUGGGCACUCUAAGGAGACUGCCGGUGCAAACCGGAGGAAGGUGGGGAUGACGUCAAGUCAUCAUGGCCCUUACGGCCUGGGCUACACACGUGCUACAAUGGUCGGUACAAAGGGUUGCCAAGCCGCGAGGUGGAGCUAAUCCCAUAAAACCGAUCGUAGUCCGGAUCGCAGUCUGCAACUCGACUGCGUGAAGUCGGAAUCGCUAGUAAUCGUGAAUCAGAAUGUCACGGUGAAUACGUUCCCGGGCCUU
Molecule: ribosomal RNA, 441 nt
Filed under: uncultured Pseudomonas sp.
Lineage: Bacteria; Pseudomonadati; Pseudomonadota; Gammaproteobacteria; Pseudomonadales; Pseudomonadaceae
Description: bacterial SSU rRNA
Rfam family: Bacterial small subunit ribosomal RNA
Source: RNAcentral